AUUUUGAACGCGCUUCAUUGCUGUCAGGUGAUACACCUUCACUCGCGCAGCGUGGGCGGAGUCUCGUACCUGUGCUCGUGAGUGCUGUCCGCCAGGUUUGGGCAGUUUGGAUGCAAACAAAACAACGGAUUAUUUACCAAGAGAUAUGCAUGUAUGGACUCAUUUCGAUUAAACACUUCUGAGUGUUUACGCUGCAGAAAACUGACGAGCAACACUACAGUCCUUCAACAAACAGAUGAGGAAGAGGAGGAGGAUGGCGGUCCAGCAUACAAAGAGAAAGAUGCUAAAUGUAAGCAGACUGUACAGAUGCACACCUCUGCCAAAACUCAUGUGACUACAAGACAAACAGAGCACCACAGUUCAUCACUUUUGGUGCUGGUUGCUUCUUCAGUCAGGAUGUAGAGACACACAGGAGUAACUGAAUAUUUCUCUUAACAUGCUACACAUUUAUUUUAAUAUUUCUAUAUUUUGUAGUAACCAAGAGAAGUGUCAGCGCUGAAGGAAUGACAGACGUUACUCAGACACCUGUGAACACAGCAGUGUUUGGAGUCCAAGACAGUGAUCUUUAUUAUAUAUUUAUAUAUUUAUUAUACUCCUGACUGGACUAGCAAGGCGUAUUAGAGACAAUGAGAAAAACUCAAAAGAAGAUAUUUUGAAGAAUGCUGUUAAUCAAACCCAACAAGUUUGUCAGGUGCAGCAAUAAAAGCUCCCAAACGAAGAUGUCACCGGAUUAAGAUGUGGAAAGACAUGUUACACCACCGCAACCAUAAAUCCUGAGUGAUUUGAAUAUGGGCAACAACCGAGGAAAAGUACUCACUGUUUCACUCAAAAAUGAUCCAUGG
Molecule: long non-coding RNA, 842 nt
Organism: Cyprinus carpio carpio
Lineage: Eukaryota; Metazoa; Chordata; Actinopteri; Cypriniformes; Cyprinidae
Source: Ensembl